GGGCAAUUAGUUUAGUGGUAUAACGUCCGUUUUGCAUACGGAAGGUCGUGAUUUCGAUUAUCACAUUGUCCA
Trichophyton equinum CBS 127.97 is the source of this 72-nucleotide non-coding RNA. NCBI's taxonomy places the organism in Eukaryota, Fungi, Ascomycota, Eurotiomycetes, Onygenales, Arthrodermataceae. The record is from Rfam.